This 129-nucleotide small nuclear RNA is filed under the name Suricata suricatta (meerkat). RNAcentral's name for it is "U4 spliceosomal RNA (ENSSSUG00005013244.1)". It matches the Rfam family "U4 spliceosomal RNA". From Rfam's summary of the family: U4 small nuclear RNA (U4 snRNA) is a component of the major U2-dependent spliceosome. The structure of U4 snRNA from yeast and human has been reported. The record is from Rfam by way of RNAcentral. Lineage: Eukaryota; Metazoa; Chordata; Mammalia; Carnivora; Herpestidae.
AGCUUUGCACAGUGGCAGUAUUGUAGCCAAUGAGGUUUAUCUGAGGUGCAAUUAUUGGUAGUUGAAGUUAGUCUAUCAUACGAGCAUAGAUUUAUACUUGAAUAUUAAUACUGCUGAAUCAAAAAAGAU